This 30-nucleotide non-coding RNA is filed under the name Mus musculus (house mouse). Lineage: Eukaryota; Metazoa; Chordata; Mammalia; Rodentia; Muridae. The record is from RNAcentral. RNAcentral also lists the same sequence under 1 other name.
UGGAAGGAAAUUUCCUUACUGAAUGUGGAA